This 861-nucleotide ribosomal RNA is filed under the name Salmonella enterica subsp. enterica serovar Rissen. RNAcentral's name for it is "partial 23S ribosomal RNA". It matches the Rfam family "Bacterial large subunit ribosomal RNA", at positions 711 to 1492 of the family's 2925-position model. The record is from RNAcentral. Lineage: Bacteria; Pseudomonadati; Pseudomonadota; Gammaproteobacteria; Enterobacterales; Enterobacteriaceae.
AGACCCGAAACCCGGUGAUCUAGCCAUGGGCAGGUUGAAGGUUGGGUAACACUAACUGGAGGACCGAACCGACUAAUGUUGAAAAAUUAGCGGAUGACCUGUGGCUGGGGGUGAAAGGCCAAUCAAACCGGGAGAUAGCUGGUUCUCCCCGAAAGCUAUUUAGGUAGCGCCUCGUGAAUUCAUCUCCGGGGGUAGAGCACUGUUUCGGCUAGGGGGCCAUCCCGGCUUACCAACCCGAUGCAAACUGCGAAUACCGGAGAAUGUUAUCACGGGAGACACACGGCGGGUGCUAACGUCCGUCGUGAAGAGGGAAACAACCCAGACCGCCAGCUAAGGUCCCAAAGUCAUGGUUAAGUGGGAAACGAUGUGGGAAGGCCCAGACAGCCAGGAUGUUGGCUUAGAAGCAGCCAUCAUUUAAAGAAAGCGUAAUAGCUCACUGGUCGAGUCGGCCUGCGCGGAAGAUGUAACGGGGCUAAACCAUGCACCGAAGCUGCGGCAGCGAACGUAUCACUUAAAGCGAUUCAGCGGAUGACGAUUGACGGAGCGAAGCGACGUCAAAGCGUAUACAAAGUCGAGUCGGUUUAAGGAUACGUUCGUUGGGUAGGGGAGCGUUCUGUAAGCCUGCGAAGGUGGCCUGUGAGGGUUGCUGGAGGUAUCAGAAGUGCGAAUGCUGACAUAAGUAACGAUAAAGCGGGUGAAAAGCCCGCUCGCCGGAAGACCAAGGGUUCCUGUCCAACGUUAAUCGGGGCAGGGUGAGUCGACCCCUAAGGCGAGGCCGAAAGGCGUAGUCGAUGGGAAACGGGUUAAUAUUCCCGUACUUGGUGUUACUGCGAAGGGGGGACGGAGAAGGCUAUGUUGGCC